Molecule: ribosomal RNA, 254 nt
Filed under: uncultured bacterium
Lineage: Bacteria
Description: partial 16S ribosomal RNA
Rfam family: Bacterial small subunit ribosomal RNA
Source: RNAcentral
UACGGGGGGGCAAGCGUUGUUCGGAAUUACUGGGCGUAAAGGGCUCGUAGGUGGCCAACUAAGUCAGACGUGAAAUCCCUCGGCUCAACUGAGGGACUGCCUUUGAAACUGUUCGGCUUGAGGCCGGGAGGGGUAGCGGAAUUCCCAGUGUAGCGGUGAAAUGCGUAGAUAUUGGGAGAACACCAGUGGCGAAGGCGGAGCUACCUGGACCGGUUGUAGACGCUGAGGCGCGAAAGCGUGGGUAGCAAACAGGG